RNAcentral lists this unclassified non-coding RNA (345 nucleotides) under soil metagenome. Its description in RNAcentral is "partial contains 5.8S ribosomal RNA, internal transcribed spacer 2, and large subunit ribosomal RNA". The stretch from base 1 to 120 matches the Rfam family "5.8S ribosomal RNA", at positions 35 to 154 of the family's 154-position model. The record is from RNAcentral.
GAUGAAGAACGCGGCGAAAUGCGAUACGUAAUGUGAAUUGCAGAAUUCAGUGAAUCAUCGAGUCUUUGAACGCACAUUGCGCCCUCUGGUAUUCCGGAGGGCAUGCCUGUCCGAGCGUCAUUGCUGCCCUCAAGCACGGCUUGUGUGUUGGGCUCCGUCCCCCGAUCCCGGGGGACGGGCCCGAAAGGCAGCGGCGGCACCGCGUCCGGUCCUCGAGCGUAUGGGGCUUUGUCACCCGCUCUGUAGGCCCGGCCGGCGCUUGCCGAUCAACCAAAUUUUUAUCCAGGUUGACCUCGGAUCAGGUAGGGAUACCCGCUGAACUUAAGCAUAUCAAUAAGCGGAGGA